GCUUGUCUCAAAGAUUAAGCCAUGCAUGUCUAAGUGUAAAUAAGUCUAUACUGUGAAACUGCGAAUGGCUCAUUAAAUCAGUUAUCGUUUAUUUGAUGAUCUCUUACUACUUGGAUAACCGUAGUAAUUCUAGAGCUAAUACAUGCACAAAAUCCCGACUUACGAAGGGAUGUAUUUAUUAGAUACAAACCAACAUCGUGGUGAUUCAUAAUAACUUUGCGAAUCGUAUGCCUCACGGCGACGAUGAAUCAUUCAAAUUUCUGCCCUAUCAACUUUCGAUGGUAAGGUAUUGGCUUACCAUGGUUACAACGGGUAACGGGGAAUUAGGGUUCGAUUCCGGAGAGGGGGCCUGAGAAAUGGCCACCACUUCCAAGGAAGGCAGCAGG
This 386-nucleotide ribosomal RNA is filed under the name uncultured Katablepharidophyta. RNAcentral's name for it is "partial small subunit ribosomal RNA". It matches the Rfam family "Eukaryotic small subunit ribosomal RNA", at positions 30 to 432 of the family's 1831-position model. The record is from RNAcentral. Lineage: Eukaryota; Cryptophyceae; Kathablepharidacea.